UGGGGAAUAUUGCACAAUGGGGGAAACCCUGAUGCAGCGACGCCGCGUGAGCGAAGAAGGUUUUCGAAUCGUAAAGCUCUGUCCUAUGAGAAGAUAAUGACGGUAUCACAGGAGGAAGCCCCGGCUAAAUACGUGCCAGCAGCCGCGGUAAUACGUAUGGGGCGAGCGUUGUCCGGAAUUAUUGGGCGUAAAGGGUACGUAGGCGGUCUAUUAAGUCAGGUGUGAAAGCGUGAGGCUUAACCUCAUUAAGCACUUGAAACUGAUAGACUUGAGUGAAGGAGAGGAAAGUGGAAUUCCUAGUGUAGCGGUGAAAUGCGUAGAUAUUAGGAGGAAUACCGGUGGCGAAGGCGACUUUCUGGACUUUUACUGACGCUCAGGUACGAAAGCGUGGGGAGCAAACAGG
This 403-nucleotide ribosomal RNA is filed under the name Verrucomicrobiota bacterium. Its description in RNAcentral is "Verrucomicrobia bacterium partial 16S ribosomal RNA". It matches the Rfam family "Bacterial small subunit ribosomal RNA", at positions 355 to 776 of the family's 1533-position model. The record is from RNAcentral. Lineage: Bacteria; Pseudomonadati; Verrucomicrobiota.